RNAcentral lists this ribosomal RNA (263 nucleotides) under uncultured bacterium. Its description in RNAcentral is "partial 16S ribosomal RNA". It matches the Rfam family "Bacterial small subunit ribosomal RNA", at positions 29 to 319 of the family's 1533-position model. The record is from RNAcentral.
AGCGAACGCUGGCGGCAGGCCUAAUACAUGCAAGUCGAGCGCCCCUUCGGGGGAGGCGGCGGACGGGUGAGUAACGCGUGGGAACGUGCCCUUUGGUACGGAACAACUGAGGGAAACUUCAGCUAAUACCGUAUGUGCCCUUCGGGGUAAAGGAUUUAUCGCCAUUGGAGCGGCCCGCGUUGGAUUAGGUAGUUGGUGAGGUAAAGGCUCACCAAGCCUACGAUCCAUAGCUGGUCUGAGAGGAUGAUCAGCCACACUGGGAC